UUUGUUUCAAGUUUGAUUGUUGAAAAGGAACAUUAAGGAAAAGAAAGGCAGUAGAAAUCACUGAUUGAUUUAGAACUCUAAUUUUGGUUGAAAAAUCAAAGAAGAAAGAUUCUGGGCAUUUAUAUAUCAUUUUUCUCCCACUGAUUUGCUUAGUGAUGAUUUUAUUUGUUUUUAAUUUUCCUUAUUUUUAUUGACACUUUGAUAAAUAUCACUCUCCCAAUUUAUGUGUCAUAUUAAGG
RNAcentral lists this long non-coding RNA (239 nucleotides) under Trifolium pratense (red clover). RNAcentral's name for it is "long non-coding RNA (TPRA_LNC005928)". Lineage: Eukaryota; Viridiplantae; Streptophyta; Magnoliopsida; Fabales; Fabaceae. The record is from RNAcentral.